This is a small nucleolar RNA of Chelmon rostratus (copperband butterflyfish), 70 nucleotides long. RefSeq annotates it as small nucleolar RNA SNORD49. Lineage: Eukaryota; Metazoa; Chordata; Actinopteri; Chaetodontiformes; Chaetodontidae. The record is from RefSeq and is a predicted model, not a curated record. The transcript has a single exon.
UGCAUUGAUGAAAACUUUCAGUAGGAAGUGCCAUCAGAUGUGACAAGUGACAAUCUAAUCUACAGUGUUU